RNAcentral lists this ribosomal RNA (488 nucleotides) under uncultured bacterium. RNAcentral describes it as "bacterial SSU rRNA". It matches the Rfam family "Bacterial small subunit ribosomal RNA", at positions 28 to 496 of the family's 1533-position model. The record is from RNAcentral.
GACGAACGCUGGCGGCGUGCCUAACACAUGCAAGUCAAGGAGAAUUCCCGACUUGUCGGGAUAGUAAACUGGCGAACGGGUGAGUAACACGUAGGUAAUCUGCCCUCGGGAUCGGGAUAACCUCGCGAAAGUGGGGAUAAUACCGAAUAAAGUCUCGGUAUAAUUUGUCGAGAUGAAAGAUGGGGAUCUUCGGACCUAUUACCUGAGGAUGAGCCUGCGCCUGAUUAGCUAGUUGGUAGGGUAAAUGCCUACCAAGGCAACGAUCAGUAGCUGGUCUGAGAGGAUGAUCAGCCACAUUGGGACUGAGAUACGGCCCAGACUCCUACGGGAGGCAGCAGUGAGGAAUUUUGCGCAAUGGGCGAAAGCCUGACGCAGCAACGCCGCGUGACUGAUUAAGCUCUGAGGAGUGUAAAAGUCUGUCGUAGAGGAAGAAACUAUCCGAUAAGAAUAUUGUCGGAUACUGACGGUACUCUAUGAGAAAGCUCCGG